UUCUUUAGUAGCGGCGAGCGAACAAGAAAAAGCCCAGCACUGAAUCCCGCCGUUUUAACGGCGGCGGGAGAUGUGGUGUUCGGGAGGUUCCGUUUUCUUGUGGUCGUCCACUCCUGUCCAAGUUCGUCUUGAACGGGGCCCAUUUCCCACAGAGGGUGCCAGGCCCGUAGCGACGGAGGACGACCGCGAGAGGGACUCUCCUCAGAGUCGGGUUGCUUGAGAGUGCAGCCCUAAGUGGGUGGUAAACUCCAUCUAAGGCUAAAUAUUACCGCGA
RNAcentral lists this ribosomal RNA (274 nucleotides) under Eudulophasia invaria. RNAcentral describes it as "partial 28S ribosomal RNA". It matches the Rfam family "Eukaryotic large subunit ribosomal RNA", at positions 76 to 331 of the family's 3401-position model. The record is from RNAcentral. Lineage: Eukaryota; Metazoa; Arthropoda; Insecta; Lepidoptera; Geometridae.